AUUGAACGCUGGCGGCAUGCUUUACACAUGCAAGUCGAACGGCAGCGCGGGCUUCGGCCUGGCGGCGAGUGGCGAACGGGUGAGUAAUACAUCGGAACGUGCCCAGUAGUGGGGGAUAGCUCGGCGAAAGCCGGAUUAAUACCGCAUACGACCUGAGGGUGAAAGCGGGGGAUCUUCGGACCUCGCGCUAUUGGAGCGGCCGAUGGCAGAUUAGCUAGUUGGUGGGGUAAAGGCCUACCAAGGCGACGAUCUGUAGCUGGUCUGAGAGGACGACCAGCCACACUGGGACUGAGACACGGCCCAGACUCCUACGGGAGGCAGCAGUGGGGAAUUUUGGACAAUGGGCGAAAGCCUGAUCCAGCAAUGCCGCGUGUGUGAUGAAGGCCUUCGGGUUGUAAAGCACUUUUGGCGGGAACGAAAAGGACUGUGCCAAUACCACGGUUCGAUGACGUUACCCGCAGAAUAAGCACCGGCUAACUACGUG
RNAcentral lists this ribosomal RNA (484 nucleotides) under uncultured bacterium. RNAcentral describes it as "partial 16S ribosomal RNA". It matches the Rfam family "Bacterial small subunit ribosomal RNA", at positions 29 to 507 of the family's 1533-position model. The record is from RNAcentral.